RNAcentral lists this transfer RNA (63 nucleotides) under Columbicola passerinae. RNAcentral's name for it is "tRNA-Ile". The record is from RNAcentral. Lineage: Eukaryota; Metazoa; Arthropoda; Insecta; Psocodea; Philopteridae.
AGUAAAGUGCCUGAGAAAAAGGGCUAUCUUGAUGCGAUAGAUUAUGGUGGAAACUCUUUACUA